CGACGAAGGAGUGUGGAGCAGUUUAGUCAGCCAACUCGAGUCGAUUUCAGGGUCUCCUAGGUGAAGUCCUUGAGUGCCUCAAGAAGGAAUCGCCGAGCAUCGUCAUACAGCAGUAUUUUUUCCUUCGACAAUUAAUCUUGCAUCUCCAACCGUGGAAUGAGUUACAUGUGACUCGAGACAAACAAACAGUGCAAUUGCAACCAUAUAAUUAGUCAGCGGUAUGGUCACUAUCAGCAGCUUUACACACAGUGUGCAUCGUGAAUACACCAAUCCAAGAGAAAACAUUCCAAUGGAAAAUAUUGAGAAUUUCUGCCCUUCUAUCCUGAACUACACAAUGCUGGUUUGUAUAAAUAGGCAUAAAAAAACCUAUCAACAGUAUUUUUAGUUUGCAGUUUGCUUUAACAUACAACUCUAUGGCAUGUUGAUAUUAGCUAAAUUUUUAUUAUUUAUAGUAUUAGACGGUACAAAAAAUUCUUCUCUCGGAAGUUUAUGACUUUGGACUUGCUUGAGAUGACCCUUGAGCCAAGAAGCUUUUCCUGCUUUGUGUGGACAGGAAUAUUAGAGGCAUUGAUGUCUGAAACCAACAAGUGUCUUGCAAAGAAAGUAAAAAGAAACAUUGAUGUUGGUCAUCCUCUGAGUGAUGCUGAAGCCUGGUAUCUUAUUGAUCAAUAAUUGGUUCUAUUCAUGGGGAAAAGAAUGUUGUGUGGGAGAAACAGGGGUCAUUCCGCUGAAAUUGAAUUAAUUCUGGCGCUCGACAUCACCGAUUUUUUUAAUUUUUUUACAGUGUAUUCAUUGUGUUGGUAUAAAAUUUUCUGUAAAGGGAAAAAUUUUUCCCGUUU
This 839-nucleotide long non-coding RNA is filed under the name Daphnia magna. Its description in RNAcentral is "uncharacterized LOC123470483, transcript variant X4". Lineage: Eukaryota; Metazoa; Arthropoda; Branchiopoda; Diplostraca; Daphniidae. The record is from RNAcentral.